This 732-nucleotide long non-coding RNA is filed under the name Marmota monax (woodchuck). Lineage: Eukaryota; Metazoa; Chordata; Mammalia; Rodentia; Sciuridae. The record is from RNAcentral.
AAAUCCCCUUGUUAAUUUUUAAGAAGUGAGAAGAGAUACCUUCAAAAGACUCAGAAUGGAAAUUCAGCAAACUGAGGGCAGAGAUUUAUUGUAAGAGGGCAGAUUGGGAUAGACUGAUUUAUAGCCUAUACCCUAAGGCCACAUAUUAAGCAAUUAUAGCUAAGAAAUUUUAUUGGCAAGCCAUAUAAAAGAUUAUAAAGCAAAGAAUAUAGGAGAGAAAUAAUUUAUCCAAGCUAAUCAUGGCCAGAGAAGCAGGGCCCCCAAGGAACUGGGCUGGGUAAGACUCAGGGCAGUGCCAUGGAUGGAUUCUUUGCUCUAUGCCCAGCAAAUCUACCCUCCUCAUCACCAAUCAACUCCAGGCAAUUGCACACCCAUUAAAAUAGUCCCAGAGCACAUGUCAAAUAAGCCCAAAAUGCCUGGGAAGAGCAGCACCCAGUAAAUGGCACUGUGUGGCCUGAACUGCUCUAAGAUCCUGAGUCUCAGCCAGGACCUCACAACUUCUUGUUAAUUACCCAUUUGAAUGGGUAAUUACAUACAAAUUUCCUCUCUUAACUUUCUCAUCCAAUUUAUGUCAAUGUAGGAUGUAUUUUUAAAAAGAGUGACUGUCAGUCUAUGGAAACAGGGUGGUUUACAAGCCUAGAGCCAAUUUUCUGCUUAGCAUGUGCAGCACUAAAAAGAUAAUUUGGGUGAGGAAAGGAAGGAUUCUGUUGGGAGUGGUUAUUGCAGUUUUAG